Molecule: ribosomal RNA, 253 nt
Filed under: uncultured bacterium
Lineage: Bacteria
Description: partial 16S ribosomal RNA
Rfam family: Bacterial small subunit ribosomal RNA
Source: RNAcentral
GACGUAGGGUCCAAGCGUUGUCCGGAUUUACUGGGCGUAAAGAGCGCGUAGGCGGUCUGUUAAGUGUAGAGUGAAAGCUCCGGGCUCAACCCGGAAAUUGCUCUGCAUACUGGCAGACUUGAGGAUGGAAGAGGUUUGUGGAAUUCCUGGUGUAGCGGUGAAAUGCGUAGAUAUCAGGAGGAACACCCAUGGCGAAGGCGGUUCUCUGGGACGGUACUGACGCUGAGACGCGAAAGCGUGGGGAGCGAACAGG